UACGUAGGGGGCAAGCGUUAUCCGGAUUUACUGGGUGUAAAGGGAGCGUAGACGGCGAUGCAAGUCAGAUGUGAAAACCCAUGGCUCAACCAUGGGAUUGCAUUUGAAACUGUGUUGCUAGAGUGCAGGAGAGGUAAGCGGAAUUCCUGGUGUAGCGGUGAAAUGCGUAGAUAUCAGGAGGAACACCGGUGGCGAAGGCGGCUUACUAGACUGUAACUGACGUUGAGGCUCGAAGGCGUGGGUAGCAAACAGGAUUAGAUA
This 261-nucleotide ribosomal RNA is filed under the name uncultured prokaryote. Its description in RNAcentral is "partial 16S ribosomal RNA". It matches the Rfam family "Bacterial small subunit ribosomal RNA", at positions 524 to 784 of the family's 1533-position model. The record is from RNAcentral.